GGGAGUAUAGCUCAGUGGUAGAGUGCCUGCUUAGCAUGCAAGGUCCUGGGUUCAAAACCCAGUACCUCCA
RNAcentral lists this transfer RNA (70 nucleotides) under Camelus dromedarius (Arabian camel). It matches the Rfam family "tRNA". From Rfam's summary of the family: Transfer RNA (tRNA) molecules are approximately 80 nucleotides in length. Their secondary structure includes four short double-helical elements and three loops (D, anti-codon, and T loops). The record is from Rfam by way of RNAcentral. Lineage: Eukaryota; Metazoa; Chordata; Mammalia; Artiodactyla; Camelidae. RNAcentral also lists the same sequence under 1 other name.